AACCACACUAUCAAUGAAUAGAUUCACCCGUGAGAUGACGUGACUAUUUCAUCUAGGAUGAGGACAUGUCAUCCUAUUAACCGCCAUCGCACGAAAUUAAUAGGAUGCCGUCUUCAUCCUAGAUGGAACGACCACGUCAUCUCACGGGUGAAUCUAUUCAUCGAUAGUGUGGUU
Molecule: microRNA precursor, 174 nt
Organism: Oryza sativa Japonica Group (Japanese rice)
Lineage: Eukaryota; Viridiplantae; Streptophyta; Magnoliopsida; Poales; Poaceae
Rfam family: MIR807 microRNA precursor family
Source: Rfam